This 444-nucleotide ribosomal RNA is filed under the name uncultured bacterium. Its description in RNAcentral is "partial 16S ribosomal RNA". It matches the Rfam family "Bacterial small subunit ribosomal RNA", at positions 354 to 796 of the family's 1533-position model. The record is from RNAcentral.
GUAGGGAAUAUUGGGCAAUGGUCGGAAGACUGACCCAGCCAUGCCGCGUGCAGGAAGACGGCCCUCUGGGUUGUAAACUGCUUUUAUCUGGGAAGAAAAAGGCCAUGCGUGGCAAAUUGCCGGUACCAGAUGAAUAAGCACCGGCUAACUCCGUGCCAGCAGCCGCGGUAAUACGGAGGGUGCGAGCGUUGUCCGGAUUUAUUGGGUUUAAAGGGUGCGUAGGCGGCCGAUUAAGUCAGCGGUGAAAGACUUCGGCUUAACCGGAGCAGUGCCGUUGAUACUGGUUGGCUUGAGUGUCGGAGGGGUACAUGGAAUUGAUGGUGUAGCGGUGAAAUGCAUAGAUACCAUCAGGAACACCGAUAGCGAAGGCAUUGUACUGGCCGACAACUGACGCUGAUGCACGAAAGUGUGGGGAUCGAACAGGAUUAGAUACCCCGGUAGUCC